GACGAACGCUGUCGGCGUGCUUAACACAUGCAAGUCGAACGGAAAGGCCCUGCUUUUGUGGGGUGCUCGAGUGGCGAACGGGUGAGUAACACGUGAGUAACCUGCCCUUGACUUUGGGAUAACUUCAGGAAACUGGGGCUAAUACCGGAUAGGAGCUCCUGCUGCAUGGUGGGGGUUGGAAAGUUUCGGCGGUUGGGGAUGGACUCGCGGCUUAUCAGCUUGUUGGUGGGGUAGUGGCUUACCAAGGCUUUGACGGGUAGCCGGCCUGAGAGGGUGACCGGCCACAUUGGGACUGAGAUACGGCCCAGACUCCUACGGGAGGCAGCAGCGGGGAAUAUUGCACAAUGGGCGGAAGCCUGAUGCAGCAACGCCGCGUGCGGGAUGACGGCCUUCGGGUUGUAAACCGCUUUCGCCUGUGACGAAGCGUGAGUGACGGUAAUGGGUAAAGAAGCACCGGCUAACUACGUG
RNAcentral lists this ribosomal RNA (468 nucleotides) under uncultured bacterium. Its description in RNAcentral is "partial 16S ribosomal RNA". It matches the Rfam family "Bacterial small subunit ribosomal RNA", at positions 28 to 507 of the family's 1533-position model. The record is from RNAcentral.